GCCUGGGUGGCUCAGUCGGUUGAGCAUCUGACUUCAGCUCAGGUCAUGAUCUCACAGUUCGUGGGUUCGUGCCCCGCAUCAGGCU
Molecule: transfer RNA, 85 nt
Filed under: Felis catus (domestic cat)
Lineage: Eukaryota; Metazoa; Chordata; Mammalia; Carnivora; Felidae
Also listed under: 1 other name
Rfam family: tRNA
About the family: Transfer RNA (tRNA) molecules are approximately 80 nucleotides in length. Their secondary structure includes four short double-helical elements and three loops (D, anti-codon, and T loops).
Source: Rfam by way of RNAcentral